AUCCAAUGGCUGAUGAACAAAUAGAUUAUGAGGACGAGGAGUAUGGGGGAGCUCAGAAAGUUCAAUAUCAGGGAAGUGGUGCCAUACCUGCACUUGCAGAGGAAGAGAUGGGGGAAGAUGAUGAAUAUGAUGAUCUCUACAAUGAUGUAAAUGUUGGAGAGAAUUUCCUACAGAUGCACCGAUCUGAGGUUCCACCACCACCUGCUAGUAUGGGCAAUGGAGGAUUCCAAUCUCGGAAUGUUGAUGAAUCAAGAGUUGAAAGUAGUGGUUCACAGGGACUGAACAAACCUGGGGUGGCAAUUGAAGAGAAGUAUUCUAAUGCCACAACACAUUUUCAUGAGCAGAGAGAAGUUCCCAUGGGUGUUAAGGGGCCAGAAAUGGGAUCUGUUGGCUACCCAGAUGGGUCUACUGUUGCACAAAAAGGGAGGGUUAUGGAGAUGACUCAUGAUUCUCAAGCACGAAAUAUGGGGUUUCAAGGAACAACAUCUGUGCCCUCCAACAUUGGGGUUGAUCCUUCUUCUGAUAUGAGUAGAAAAAUUGCCAAUGAGUCUUCACCUUUGCCAAAUACUGGCACCAGUGGUCCUCGAGGCAUUCAACAGUUGUCAACUAAUCAAAUUAGUGUGAAUAUGGAUGCCAAUCGUCCUGCAAUGAAUGAAAAUCAAAUCCGGCCACCAAUAGAGAAUGGUUCAACCAUGCUGUUUGUGGGAGAAUUACAUUGGUGGACAACUGAUGCAGAGCUUGAGAGUG
This 747-nucleotide unclassified non-coding RNA is filed under the name Hevea brasiliensis (rubber tree). Lineage: Eukaryota; Viridiplantae; Streptophyta; Magnoliopsida; Malpighiales; Euphorbiaceae. The record is from RNAcentral.